UACAGAGGAGCCAAGCGUUGUCCGGAUUGACUGGGCGUAAAGCGCACGCAGGCGGAUGCGCGCGUGGGGUGUGAAAUCUGGCCGCUUAACGGCCAGGCGCCAUCCCAUACGGCGCGUCUGGAGUGAUGCAGAGGUCGGUGGAAUUGCCGGUGUAGUGGUGAAAUGCGUAGAGAUCGGCAGGAACACCCAGGGGGAAACCAGUCGACUGGGCAUCUACUGACGCUGAGGUGCGAGAGCGUGGGGAGCGAACCGG
Molecule: ribosomal RNA, 253 nt
Filed under: uncultured bacterium
Lineage: Bacteria
Description: partial 16S ribosomal RNA
Rfam family: Bacterial small subunit ribosomal RNA
Source: RNAcentral